This 172-nucleotide unclassified non-coding RNA is filed under the name soil metagenome. Its description in RNAcentral is "partial internal transcribed spacer 1". The record is from RNAcentral.
CCUUUCAAUGCAGAAGAGUUGAGAUGGUUGAGUAUCUCGCCUCUCAAUUCUCGCUGUAUUUUUACCCUUGUUUUUCUUCAUACUAUUAUUUCCUCGGCAGGCUCGCCUGCCGGGUGAAAACAACUUCAAACCUGUUUAAUUUUCAAUCAGCGUCUGAACAAAUUAAUAAUUA